Molecule: long non-coding RNA, 294 nt
Organism: Telopea speciosissima
Lineage: Eukaryota; Viridiplantae; Streptophyta; Magnoliopsida; Proteales; Proteaceae
Exons: 2
Source: RefSeq, a predicted model, not a curated record
ACAUUCCUUGUAGUUCGUCCAGUGUUAACACUUAACAGUCAUACAGGAACAAUUCAUCUUAGAACUUGUCGAUUGGGGAUAAGAAUGGAUUGUGGAUCUGAAGAUUGGGAUACAUCAUCAAGUUCUUUAUUACAAGGCAACUAAUUUUAUGAAGGGAUCUCUAGGUUUGAUACUUUUGUUAUUGCUGCUGCUUCUGUCACUGAUGAUGAUAUUUAUCUGUAACUGGGUUGAUAUAUAUAAUCUGUAACUGUGCUUGGCCUAGUAUCCUGAUUUUUUUUAACUUGUUGGGUUCAA